This 518-nucleotide ribosomal RNA is filed under the name Pseudeurotium bakeri. Its description in RNAcentral is "eukaryotic LSU rRNA". The stretch from base 146 to 299 matches the Rfam family "5.8S ribosomal RNA". The record is from RNAcentral. Lineage: Eukaryota; Fungi; Ascomycota; Leotiomycetes; Thelebolales; Pseudeurotiaceae.
GGGGUAUACCUCCCACCCUUUGUUUAUUAUACCUUUGUUGCUUUGGCGGGCCCGUCCUCGGACCACCGGCUUCGGCUGGUCAGUGCCCGCCAGAGGACCUAAAACUCUGUUUGUUCAUAUUGUCUGAGUACUAUAUAAUAGUUAAAACUUUCAACAACGGAUCUCUUGGUUCUGGCAUCGAUGAAGAACGCAGCGAAAUGCGAUAAGUAAUGUGAAUUGCAGAAUUCAGUGAAUCAUCGAAUCUUUGAACGCACAUUGCGCCCCCUGGUAUUCCGGGGGGCAUGCCUGUUCGAGCGUCAUUACAACCCUCAGCUCUGCUUGGUAUUGGGCUCUGCCGGUCCCGGCAGGCCUUAAAAUCAGUGGCGGUGCCAUUCGGCUUCAAGCGUGUAAUUCUUCUCGCUUUGGAGACCCGGGUGCGUGCUUGCCAGCAACCCCCAAUUUUUUCAGGUUGACCUCGGAUCAGGUAGGGAUACCCGCUGAACUUAAGCAUAUCAAUAAGCGGAGGGAAAAAGAAACUU